Molecule: long non-coding RNA, 315 nt
Filed under: Mus spicilegus (steppe mouse)
Lineage: Eukaryota; Metazoa; Chordata; Mammalia; Rodentia; Muridae
Description: lncRNA (ENSMSIG00000011365.1)
Source: RNAcentral
GCCUGGUGUGCAAAGGGCCUGCCUACCCUGAGCGGAAGCAGACACCAGAAGACUUCAAUAUGCAGGGUUGCUCCAGGAUAGCCAACUCCUAGUGUGACUCUUGCCAUUACUUGCACUUCCUGGCACAGUUUCAGAAAGAGAAAAGGUGAGAAGGCAAUUCUAUUCUGGAAAGACACGCUGUGCUACAACUUAAAAAGGAAUUCGCUUUAUCGCUUUACCUAUGUUUUAAUCGUAGGGGUCCGUGUAGGAAAUUGUAUCAGAGAGAAAGGAUCAGACAGACUCUUGGUCCUGAAGGGCAGAAGAUGUAUUUCCUUG